Molecule: ribosomal RNA, 220 nt
Filed under: uncultured bacterium
Lineage: Bacteria
Description: partial 16S ribosomal RNA
Rfam family: Bacterial small subunit ribosomal RNA
Source: RNAcentral
UGACCUGCCCCGAAGAGGGGGAGUAAACGGCCCGAAAGGGGCUGCUAAUACCCCAUGUGAUUGGCGAUUCAGUUUGCCAAUUAAAGCUUCCGCAAGGAGUGUGCUUCGGGAGGGGCCUGCGGCAGAUUAGAUAGUUGGUGGGGUAAUGGCCUACCAAGUCGAUGAUCUGUAGCUAGUCUGAGAGGACGAUUAGCCACACUGGCACUGACACACGGGCCAG